GGACCCGUAGCUCAGCUGGAUAGAGCGUUGCCCUCCGAAGGCAAAGGCCAUGAGUUCGAAUCUCGUCGGGUCCACCA
RNAcentral lists this transfer RNA (77 nucleotides) under Commensalibacter sp. ESL0382. RNAcentral describes it as "tRNA-Arg". It matches the Rfam family "tRNA". Rfam says of the family: Transfer RNA (tRNA) molecules are approximately 80 nucleotides in length. RNAcentral also lists the same sequence under 1 other name. The record is from RNAcentral. Lineage: Bacteria; Pseudomonadati; Pseudomonadota; Alphaproteobacteria; Acetobacterales; Acetobacteraceae.